Molecule: ribosomal RNA, 464 nt
Filed under: uncultured bacterium
Lineage: Bacteria
Description: partial 16S ribosomal RNA
Rfam family: Bacterial small subunit ribosomal RNA
Source: RNAcentral
ACGAACGCUGGCGGCGUGCUUCACCCAUGCCAGUCGAACGGAAAGGCCCCUUUGGGGGUACUCGAGUGGCGAACGGGUGAGUAACACGUGAGUAACCUGCCCUUGACUUCGGGAUAACUUCAGGAAACUGGGGCUAAUACCGGAUAGGAAUCCUUGCUGCAUGGUGGGGGUUGGAAAGCUUCGGCGGUUUUGGAUGGACUCGCGGCUUAUCAGCUUGUUGGUGGGGUAGUGGCUUACCAAGGCUUUGACGGGUAGCCGGCCUGAGAGGGCGACCGGCCACAUUGGGACUGAGAUACGGCCCAGACUCCUACGGGAGGCAGCAGUGGGGAAUAUUGCACAAUGGGCGGAAGCCUGAUGCAGCAACGCCGCGUGCGGGAUGACGGCCUUCGGGUUGUAAACCGCUUUCAGCAGGGGCGAAGCUUGUGGUGACGGUACCUGCAGAAGAAGCACCGGCUAACUACGUG